CACCCUGUAGGUCAAGGGGACAAGGCAGGGAAGAAGGGAAUGGGUGAGUCUUUGUUCCUAGGACCUAGAGCCUGCAGAUCUCCAAGACCCAGUCAUUCUUGCUGAAAAUGAGCCGUGUCUAUGCUAUCCCAGAGGUUAUGAGGGCUUGCUACUCUUCUACAGGACUUGAGUUUGGUUCCCCGUACCCAUGUUCAGCAACUCACAACUACCUGUAACUCUAGUUCCAAGAGCUCUGACACACUCUUCUGGCUUCCAAGGUCACCUGUACACAUUCAGUGACAUCAGUAUAAAAAUAUCCACUCCUUGAAAACAAUAUGGUCUUUUUUUUUUUUUUUUUCUGGCUGUCCUGGAAGGAACUAUAUAGACAAGGUUGGCCUCGAACUCACAGAGGUCCAUCUGCAUUUACCUCUGAGUGCUGGGAGUAAAGGCGUGAGCCACCAUACUUGUAGCAGAUGUAAAUCUCUUGCAUGGAGCUCACUGGGAGGGACAGAGAUAAUCUGGAUUUGAGUUUGUAUUCUGAUUAACCCACUAGGAAGUGGCCCCAAUGUGCCCACCUUUGACCUAGUUUCCCUCCCUCUCUAAUUUCUUUCUCUCAACAGGGUGCAGUUAGCCCAAGUGGCUGGGACUCCAGCUCAUCUUGCUGUUCGUGGCAACUCCACCCCAUCAGCACACUCCACAAUGAGGCAGUAGGCUGUGAAAUUUCUCGUGAUGGAGUAAGACAAAGAUUUUACAGAACGCCCCACACUGUCCUUUCUCAUUGAAGCGUACACAGAUUGUGUUUUGGUCAUGGAAUGGCCUACAUCAUGUAAUCAGGUGUUCUCCUAUUGGCUGCUUCUCAAUGAAAAGGGGUUUCUCGUGAUCAGGGGCUAAGAACUAUCUGUAAGACGAGUCUACCCAAGGGUACACACAGGUUAAUUAAGCUUGAGUCAUUUCAGUCUUGAAAGACUUGGCCCUUGGCCUCCACGUGACUGUCAUCUAGCGGCUAGAACCUAGUUAGACUUCUAAGAUGUAAAUAAAUGGCCAAGAGCGCUAGAACAUUGCAGGAGUGGGCAGAGAGAACCUCUGCAGUGUGACGCCAUGAGGGCAAGCUUCGGACAAUGUACGGAAGGGAAGCUCUUGCAAGUUGCAUCUUGGUUCAUGAGGUGGUACAAAAUGGUUUCACAUUCCUGAAGAAAAGUGCGCUGCAGGUAACCUCCAGGGAAGAUCACAGUGGUGACACCGGGCUGAGGUAAGCACAGGACUGGGCAUAGGCUGAGGUGGAUCCAAAGAGCCCACUAGAUGUCUCAGGACAUCGGACUUGGUAAGAGGAAGACUUAAGGGGAGGGUUGUAUCAGGCAAUGAAUGGGGCAGGAGUCGCAUUUUAAAGAACAGCAUGCCAUUAAUAAAAGGAGAGAAGGCAUCAGAGUUGAUGGUUAUAUUUAUUUUGGGGGAGGAGGCACCUGUGCCACGUCAUGUGUGAGGAAAUCAGAGGACAGCUUGUGGGAGAAGUUGGGACUGGGGGAUGGAGCUUGGGUAACGAGGCCUGACAGCCAGCGCUUUUACCUGGAGCUGAGGCAGCUUUUGUGGCUCUCAAAGAUUGUUCUCACUUUCCUCACUUGGGAGUGUUUUCCUAAAGUUCAGGCCUGCAUGGGUUUGGGGGGGGGGCAAUGAAAAUGAGAUUUUUUUUUCAAAAUCAGGAGUGGAAAGGUGCUAAACUAAUUAUUAAUUAAUAAAUCCUGAUGACGGUGUUGCUGCCCGA
Molecule: long non-coding RNA, 1738 nt
Organism: Mus musculus (house mouse)
Lineage: Eukaryota; Metazoa; Chordata; Mammalia; Rodentia; Muridae
Product: predicted gene, 30283
Exons: 2
Source: RefSeq, a predicted model, not a curated record